This is a small nuclear RNA of Grammomys surdaster, 159 nucleotides long. RefSeq annotates it as U1 spliceosomal RNA. Lineage: Eukaryota; Metazoa; Chordata; Mammalia; Rodentia; Muridae. The transcript has a single exon. The record is from RefSeq and is a predicted model, not a curated record.
AUAGAUACUUGGAAGGUAAGAUACCAUAGUCAAGAAGGUAUUUUUUUUCCAGGGUGAGGCUUAUCCACUGCAUUUCAGAUGUUCUGACCUUGUGACUUCCCCAAAUGUGGAAAAAUGCAUAAUUUGUGGUAGUGGGCAAUUGUGUUCCAGCUUUCCCCU